Molecule: ribosomal RNA, 252 nt
Filed under: uncultured Brevibacterium sp.
Lineage: Bacteria; Bacillati; Actinomycetota; Actinomycetes; Micrococcales; Brevibacteriaceae
Description: partial 16S ribosomal RNA
Rfam family: Bacterial small subunit ribosomal RNA
Source: RNAcentral
AGGAGACUGCCGGGGUCAACUCGGAGGAAGGUGGGGAUGACGUCAAAUCAUCAUGCCCUUUAUGUCUUGGGCUUCACGCAUGCUACAAUGGCUGGUACAGAGAGAGGCGAACCCGUGAGGGCAAGCGAAUCCCUUAAAGCCAGUCUCAGUUCGGAUCGUAGUCUGCAAUUCGACUACGUGAAGUCGGAGUCGCUAGUAAUCGCAGAUCAGCAACUUUUGCGGUGAAUACGUUCCCGGGCCUUGUACACACCG